Molecule: long non-coding RNA, 301 nt
Organism: Thunnus maccoyii (southern bluefin tuna)
Lineage: Eukaryota; Metazoa; Chordata; Actinopteri; Scombriformes; Scombridae
Exons: 2
Source: RefSeq, a predicted model, not a curated record
UGAAGAAAGCUGUGAACAUGCAUUUAUCCAAAUUACUUAAACCUGUCUUCACCUAGUUGCGCCUCCUCAACCUGGCUUGGCCAACGUGAAAGAACCUGCCCCACUCCAGCUGUGUCUUCCUCUGUGAUUAAUUCCUUGUGUAUUUAUACUUGUCUGUUCUCUGAGUUCUUUGUCAGUUGGUGGUCAAUGUAUCCUGCUCUUUGCAGCUGUUAUUUUUGCUCCCCGUGUUUCAAGUCAGGCAGUUCUGUUUUUGUCUUCGUCUGCCAGUAACCAGAGUCUGGUAAAUAAAUAUUUUCUUCAG